Small nuclear RNA from Grammomys surdaster, 105 nucleotides. NCBI's taxonomy places the organism in Eukaryota, Metazoa, Chordata, Mammalia, Rodentia, Muridae. The record is from RefSeq and is a predicted model, not a curated record.
UUGCUUCAGCGGCACAGAGACUAAAAUUGAAAUGAUAUGGAGAAGACUAUUAGCAUGGUUCCUGCACAGGAUGGCACACAGAUUUGUGAAGCAUUCCAUUUAAAG